Molecule: non-coding RNA, 478 nt
Organism: Paramuricea clavata
Lineage: Eukaryota; Metazoa; Cnidaria; Anthozoa; Malacalcyonacea; Plexauridae
Source: the annotation of a GenBank genome assembly
CACUGACGAAUUUGGGUUGUGCACGCCCUUUUAUACUAACGGUUGAGGGAUCUUUGUACACGUGAUGUAGCAAGUGGUGUGAUUUGUAUCCAGCCAAUCAACGUUGAGGUUUAAAAGUGUGGGUUGGCGUUGCUAGCUCGUUCCAGCCCUCAAAUUCUGUUUAUUUAAGGCGUUGUCGCACUGGUCGAGUUGGUUCGCUGUUCAAUCGAUCAAUGUUAAAAUAUGUUCACAACUUAAAAUACUUAUCAAAAUAUCAUAGUAAAACUUCAACCUAUACCUAUGUGAACCUUACUUUAUCUACUAAACUAAAUUUACUUACAAUUUUAUUGAACCAAGAUUUUGAUGACGUAAUGUUAUCAUUACUCGACUGCGCGAAAUAUACCGAAGAAUGAUUGACAGAAAGGCCCUAAGCAUGCACAUUUUCAUGUCAGAGAAGAACCAGCCUUGGACUUUGAAUUAUGUAAACACAACAGCCCAC